Molecule: ribosomal RNA, 257 nt
Filed under: uncultured bacterium
Lineage: Bacteria
Description: partial 16S ribosomal RNA
Rfam family: Bacterial small subunit ribosomal RNA
Source: RNAcentral
GACAGAGGGUGCAAACGUUUGUUCGGAAUUACUGGGCGUAAAGCGCGUGUAGGCGGCAAGGCAAGUCGGAUGUGAAAGCCCCGCGGCUCAACCGUGGAAGUGCACUCGAAACUGCCUAGCUAGAGUCUCGGAGAGGAAGGUGGAAUGCUUGGUGUAGAGGUGAAAUUCGUAGAUAUCAAGCAGAACACCUGUGGCGAAGGCGGCCUUCUGGACGAUGACUGACGCUGAGACGCGAAAAGCGUGGGGGAGCAAACAGG